GUCGAAAGUUUGCGUAGUGGAGUUUCAAUAUCGUCCCCCACAAAUAAGCGGGUCAGUAAGCGGCGCAGCUCACGUUCUACCGUGCCGGAUAGUGAUGAUGUCGAAUCGAUUUCAUCGCACAUAAGCAAUGCUUCUGGUGCACCGAAACGCCGUGUGACGCGUAGCUCGGUGAAGGACAAAGAGGACAAUGACGAUGAUUUGGUGAGUGUUGCGAGCUCAGUUGGUAGUGAACGUACAUCUAAGCGGCGUUCGAAAGAGUCUAAAAACUCGCCGAAUACUACUUUGAGUACCAUUCAAGAAGAUGAAGCGGAAGAAGAAGCGGGGCGGAAGAAGCGAUCUCGACAGGCCAGAAAAAAUGCAUAUAAAUUGCAAGAAGAACCAUAAGGUUCAUAAGGUCAACACUUUUUUUAUUAAUUAAUAUUUUUGUUGUUGCAGUGUAAAACUGGAGUAAAAUACCAAUAAAGAGAAUAAACGUUGGAAAAAUUCUAGUACUAUAAAUAUA
Non-coding RNA from Bactrocera oleae (olive fruit fly), 502 nucleotides. The record is from RefSeq and is a predicted model, not a curated record. Lineage: Eukaryota; Metazoa; Arthropoda; Insecta; Diptera; Tephritidae.